This 384-nucleotide ribosomal RNA is filed under the name Bacteroides fragilis. RNAcentral describes it as "bacterial SSU rRNA". It matches the Rfam family "Bacterial small subunit ribosomal RNA", at positions 1 to 377 of the family's 1533-position model. The record is from RNAcentral. Lineage: Bacteria; Pseudomonadati; Bacteroidota; Bacteroidia; Bacteroidales; Bacteroidaceae.
ACAAUGAAGAGUUUGAUCCUGGCUCAGGAUGAACGCUAGCUACAGGCUUAACACAUGCAAGUCGAGGGGCAUCAGGAAGAAAGCUUGCUUUCUUUGCUGGCGACCGGCGCACGGGUGAGUAACACGUAUCCAACCUGCCCUUUACUCGGGGAUAGCCUUUCGAAAGAAAGAUUAAUACCCGAUGGGAUAAUUAUUCCGCAUGGUUUGAUUAUUAAAGGAUUCCGGUAAAGGAUGGGGAUGCGUUCCAUUAGGUUGUUGGUGAGGUAACGGCUCACCAAGCCUUCGAUGGAUAGGGGUUCUGAGAGGAAGGUCCCCCACAUUGGAACUGAGACACGGUCCAAACUCCUACGGGAGGCAGCAGUGAGGAAUAUUGGUCAAUGGGCG